This 253-nucleotide ribosomal RNA is filed under the name uncultured bacterium. RNAcentral's name for it is "partial 16S ribosomal RNA". It matches the Rfam family "Bacterial small subunit ribosomal RNA", at positions 524 to 776 of the family's 1533-position model. The record is from RNAcentral.
AGCGUAGGAGACAAACGUUAUCCGGAGUUACUGGGCGUAAAGGGCGUGUAGGCGGUUAGGUAAGUCUGGCGUGAAAGCUCUCGGCUAAACCGGGAGAGGUCGUUGGAUACUGGCUGACUAGAGGACGGUAGAGGCGUGUGGAAUUCCGGGUGUAGUGGUGAAAUGCGUAGAGAUCCGGAGGAACACCAGUGGCGAAGGCGACACGCUGGGCCGUACCUGACGCUAAAGCGCGACAGCAUGGGGAGCAAACGGG